UACGUAGGGUGCAAGCGUUAAUCGGAAUUACUGGGCGUAAAGCGUGCGCAGGCGGCUUUGCAAGACAGAUGUGAAAUCCCCGGGCUCAACCUGGGAACUGCAUUUGUGACUGCAAGGCUAGAGUACGGUAGAGGGGGAUGGAAUUCCGCGUGUAGCAGUGAAAUGCGUAGAUAUGCGGAGGAACACCGAUGGCGAAGGCAAUCCCCUGGACCUGUACUGACGCUGAGACGCGAAAGCGUGGGGAGCGAACAGG
This 253-nucleotide ribosomal RNA is filed under the name uncultured bacterium. RNAcentral's name for it is "partial 16S ribosomal RNA". It matches the Rfam family "Bacterial small subunit ribosomal RNA", at positions 524 to 776 of the family's 1533-position model. The record is from RNAcentral.